RNAcentral lists this ribosomal RNA (457 nucleotides) under Streptococcus sp. oral taxon 064. Its description in RNAcentral is "bacterial SSU rRNA". It matches the Rfam family "Bacterial small subunit ribosomal RNA", at positions 28 to 471 of the family's 1533-position model. The record is from RNAcentral. Lineage: Bacteria; Bacillati; Bacillota; Bacilli; Lactobacillales; Streptococcaceae.
GACGAACGCUGGCGGCGUGCCUAAUACAUGCAAGUAGAACGCUGAAGGGAGAGCUUGCUCUUCUGGAUGAGUUGCGAGCGGGUGAGUAACGCGUAGGUAACCUGCCUGGUAGCGGGGGAUAACUAUUGGAAACGAUAGCUAAUACCGCAUAAGAGUAGAUGUUGCAUGACAUUUGCUUAAAAGGUGCAAUUGCAUCACUACCAGAUGGACCUGCGUUGUAUUAGCUAGUUGGUGGGGUAACGGCUCACCAAGGCGACGAUACAUAGCCGACCUGAGAGGGUGAUCGGCCACACUGGGACUGAGACACGGCCCAGACUCCUACGGGAGGCAGCAGUAGGGAAUCUUCGGCAAUGGACGGAAGUCUGACCGAGCAACGCCGCGUGAGUGAAGAAGGUUUUCGGAUCGUAAAGCUCUGUUGUAAGAGAAGAACGAGUGUGAGAGUGGAAAGUUCACACUG